CACAUUCAAGUCGAACGGUGACGAGGACUUCGGUCCUCUGAUCAGUGGCGGACGGGUGAGUAACGCGUGAGCAACCUGCCCUAUAUUGCGGGAUAACAACCGGAAACAGUUGCUAAUACCGCAUGACGUAUUCGGAUCGCAUGUUCUGAAUACCAAAGAAUUUUGAUAUAGGAUUGGCCCGCGGCCCAUUAGCUAGUUGGUGGGGUAAACGGCCCACCAAGGCGACGAUCAGUAGCCGGUCUGAGAGGAUGAACGGCCACAUUGGGACUGAGAUACGGCCCAGACUCCUACGGGAGGCAGCAGUGGGGAAUAUUGGGCAAUGGGGGAAACCCUGACCCAGCAACGCCGCGUGAAGGAAGAGGGCCUUCGGGUUGUAAACUUCUUUUAGCAGGGACGAAGAACGUGACGGUACCUGCAGGAAAAGCAACGGCUAACUACGUG
This 441-nucleotide ribosomal RNA is filed under the name uncultured bacterium. RNAcentral's name for it is "bacterial SSU rRNA". It matches the Rfam family "Bacterial small subunit ribosomal RNA", at positions 52 to 507 of the family's 1533-position model. The record is from RNAcentral.